AUACGGAGGAUGCGAGCGUUAUCCGGAUUUAUUGGGUUUAAAGGGAGCGUAGGCGGGAGCUUAAGUCAGCGGUUAAAUGGUGCGGCUCAACCGUGCCCUGCCGUUGAAACUGGGUUUCUUGAGAGUGCAAGAGGCGGAUGGAAUUCCUGGGGUAGCGGGGAAAUGCUUAGAUAUCAUGAAGAACUCCGAUUGCGAAGGCAGUCCGCUGGGGCACGUCUGACGCUGAUGCUCGAAGGUGCGGGAAUCAAACAGGAUUAGAUACCCUGGUAGUCCGCACGGUAAACGAUGAUUACCCGCUGUCGGCGGUAGACAGUCGGCGGCCAAGCGAAAGCGAUAAGUAAUCCACCUGGGGAGUACGCCGGCAACGGUGAAACUCAAAGGAAUUGACGGGG
RNAcentral lists this ribosomal RNA (392 nucleotides) under uncultured bacterium. RNAcentral describes it as "partial 16S ribosomal RNA". It matches the Rfam family "Bacterial small subunit ribosomal RNA", at positions 523 to 918 of the family's 1533-position model. The record is from RNAcentral.